UGUCAGCCCUACCAUUCAAAGUCAACGCAAUGUGACGAAUAACGCUGACGCAACAAUAGUUCUUGCGGUAGAAGUCAAAUUUAUAAAUGCCCAAGACACGUCAGGACUGAGAGGUGAAUCUCUCUGGGAGCUGUCUGCCUGGAUUGCUCCUGUAAACACUACUCACAGUCACACCAGGAUAGGUUUCACCGAGCAAGUUCUCAAUGUUGAUCAGGCAUCGCAGAGGUACAUAAAAAA
This is a long non-coding RNA of Strongylocentrotus purpuratus (purple sea urchin), 237 nucleotides long. RefSeq lists it as uncharacterized. The record is from RefSeq and is a predicted model, not a curated record. Lineage: Eukaryota; Metazoa; Echinodermata; Echinoidea; Camarodonta; Strongylocentrotidae. The transcript has 2 exons.